CGGGAGUAAAGUUUUGUUUAAACCGAAAAAAUAUUGACUGACUUUAGAUUUUUCUUUGGAAUAUGUGUUUUUUUGGAGAGCCCUCUUUUAUAGUGAAUUUUGUUGGCGCAUGUAUGAUUGUUUAGUUUUUACUUUUUUGGUAAUGCUUUGUGUUUUAUACAUUUAAAACAGAUAUAUAUUUG
RNAcentral lists this ribosomal RNA (182 nucleotides) under Dirofilaria immitis (dog heartworm nematode). RNAcentral describes it as "partial small subunit ribosomal RNA". The record is from RNAcentral. Lineage: Eukaryota; Metazoa; Nematoda; Chromadorea; Rhabditida; Onchocercidae.